UACGUAGGUGGCGAGCGUUAUCCGGAAUUACUGGGUGUAAAGGGCGUGUAGGCGGGGAAGUAAGUCAGAUGUGAAAUUCCGGAGCUCAACUCCGGCGCUGCAUCUGAAACUGCAUCUCUUGAGUACUGGAGAGGAAAGUGGAAUUCCUAGUGUAGCGGUGAAAUGCGUAGAUAUUAGGAGGAACACCAGUGGCGAAGGCGGCUUUCUGGACAGUAACUGACGCUGAGGCGCGAAAGCGUGGGGAGCAAACAGG
This 253-nucleotide ribosomal RNA is filed under the name uncultured bacterium. RNAcentral's name for it is "partial 16S ribosomal RNA". It matches the Rfam family "Bacterial small subunit ribosomal RNA", at positions 524 to 776 of the family's 1533-position model. The record is from RNAcentral.